Molecule: ribosomal RNA, 329 nt
Filed under: uncultured eukaryote
Lineage: Eukaryota
Description: partial 18S ribosomal RNA
Rfam family: Eukaryotic small subunit ribosomal RNA
Source: RNAcentral
CCCUUAGAUGUUCUGGGCCGCACGCGCGCUACACUGAUGCAUUCAACGAGUCUAAAACCUGCUCUGAUAGGGGUGGGUAAUCUUUUGAAUGUGCAUCGUGAUUGGGAUAGAUGAUUGCAAUUUUUCAUCUUCAACGAGGAAUGCCUAGUAAACGCAAGUCAUCGGCUUGCAUUGAUUACGUCCCUGCCCUUUGUACACACCGCCCGUCGCUCCUACCGAUUGAAUGAUCCGAUGAAUAUCAUGGAUUGAGGAUGCAAGUAGGUUCGCCUAUCUUCAUCUUCGAGAAGUGAAGUAAAUCUUAUCAUUUAGAGGAAGGAGAAGUCGUAACA